RNAcentral lists this ribosomal RNA (497 nucleotides) under uncultured bacterium. RNAcentral describes it as "partial 16S ribosomal RNA". It matches the Rfam family "Bacterial small subunit ribosomal RNA", at positions 28 to 507 of the family's 1533-position model. The record is from RNAcentral.
GAUGAACGCUGGCGGCGUGCCUAAUACAUGCAAGUCGAGCGAACGGACGAGAAGCUUGCUUCUCUGAUGUUAGCGGCGGACGGGUGAGUAACACGUGGAUAACCUACCUAUAAGACUGGGAUAACUUCGGGAAACCGGAGCUAAUACCGGAUAAUAUUUUGAACCGCAUGGUUCAAAAGUGAAAGACGGUCUUGCUGUCACUUAUCGAUGGAUCCGCGCUGCAUUAGCUAGUUGGUAAGGUAACGGCUUACCAAGGCAACGAUGCAUAGCCGACCUGAGAGGGUGAUCGGCCACACUGGAACUGAGACACGGUCCAGACUCCUACGGGAGGCAGCAGUAGGGAAUCUUCCGCAAUGGGCGAAAGCCUGACGGAGCAACGCCGCGUGAGUGAUGAAGGUCUUCGGAUCGUAAAACUCUGUUAUUAGGGAAGAACAUAUGUGUAAGUAACUGUGAACAUCUUGACGGUACCUAAUCAGAAAGCCACGGCUAACUACGUG